Long non-coding RNA from Girardinichthys multiradiatus, 877 nucleotides. RefSeq lists it as uncharacterized. The record is from RefSeq and is a predicted model, not a curated record. The transcript is spliced from 2 exons. Lineage: Eukaryota; Metazoa; Chordata; Actinopteri; Cyprinodontiformes; Goodeidae.
CUUUGAAGUGCAUCACACCUAUCCAAGCACUGUGCCCUUUUUUACAUUGCAAAUCAGCUCAGAAACACGCGUAAAGCAGGCUGAAUCCAAAUGCAACAAGCGGAAGUGUUCAGCAUGUCAUUGUCUCCAACAUGGUCUCACAUUUUCCUCAAGCACCCUCUGAUCCAGGAUGGAACUCAUAUUUAAUUUUAAGAUGGUGAGCUGGUCAGGUCCUGCUACAGUAAAGCAUCUUCAAACCAUGACACAUCCACCUCCGUACUUCAUAUUGUUCUUCUCCUAGAAGACUCAUGGGGCCAAAGAAGAACAACAGUAGUCUUGGUCUUUCUCUACAUUUUCUCUAGCAAAGUUCAGUCUUUCAUUUAUGUUUUCUUAGAAAGCAAGUGUUUCCUCCUUGCAUACCUCAAAUGGAAGCCAAAUGUGUGCAGUCUCUUUCUGAUUGUACAGCCAUGCAGUUUCAUACCAACAGUUGCAAUUGACUGUUGUAGGUCCUAUGAUUACAUUUUAGGGUUUUUGGUGACUUCUUUUAGCGUCUUACAGUCUGCUCUCUGGGUGAACUGUCCUGGAUUGCCAGACCUGGGCAUGUUGAGAUUUGGUUUGAAUGUGAUCCAAUUGCAGGUUAUUUCCUGUACAUUGGAAUGUUUUGAGACCUUUUUUUUAUCUUUUAUCAAACUCGUAACCUGCUACAACCUUCUUUCUUUCAAUACCACUUUGUUGUUUACUCUGACUUUAACAGUGACGUGCCAAUCCUAAUUUGAAAUACAGAGUAACAAGGUUCUAAUAAUGUACACCUGAUGUGAUACGCCUGUGUGUCAUUUUAUUCCAUUUUAAGUGGGAGUACAUGUUGGUUGUGUCAUAAUACAAUUUAUUUUCACAGAAA